RNAcentral lists this ribosomal RNA (467 nucleotides) under uncultured bacterium. RNAcentral's name for it is "partial 16S ribosomal RNA". It matches the Rfam family "Bacterial small subunit ribosomal RNA", at positions 29 to 507 of the family's 1533-position model. The record is from RNAcentral.
ACGCACGCUGGCGGCGUGCUUCACACCUGCAAGUCGAACGGAAAGGCCCUGCUUUUGUGGGGUGCUCGAGUGGCGAACGGGUGAGUAACACGUGAGUAACCUGCCCUUGACUUUGGGAUAACUUCAGGAAACUGGGGCUAAUACCGGAUAGGAGCUCCUGCUGCAUGGUGGGGGUUGGAAAGUUUCGGCGGUUGGGGAUGGACUCGCGGCUUAUCAGCUUGUUGGUGGGGUAGUGGCUUACCAAGGCUUUGACGGGUAGCCGGCCUGAGAGGGUGACCGGCCACAUUGGGACUGAGAUACGGCCCAGACUCCUACGGGAGGCAGCAGUGGGGAAUAUUGCACAAUGGGCGGAAGCCUGAUGCAGCAACGCCGCAUGCGGGAUGACGGCCUUCGGGUUGUAAACCGCUUUCGCCUGUGACGAAGCGUGAGUGACGGUAAUGGGUAAAGAAGCACCGGCUAACUACGUG